UUGACGAUGGGCCGGCGGCGGCGUGUGUACGAAGGGUGAAGUCAUUAUCCGGAGGGACUUGGCUUAGAGAGUUGCGUAGUCGGUUCGUAAGGUGAAUAGUGAUAUCUGGUGGCUCAACCAUUCAGACUAUUAUUCAAACUCACGAUCUCGAGAAUGGUAGAGGGAACUGGAAUUUCUUGUGUAGGAGUGAAAGCCGUAGAUAUAAGAAGGAACACCAAUGGCGUAGGCAGGUUACUGGACCAUUUCUGACGCUAAGGCACGAAAGCGUGGGGAGCGAACCGGAUUAGAUACCCUUGUAGUC
This 301-nucleotide ribosomal RNA is filed under the name uncultured Methanimicrococcus sp. RNAcentral's name for it is "bacterial SSU rRNA". It matches the Rfam family "Bacterial small subunit ribosomal RNA", at positions 497 to 795 of the family's 1533-position model. The record is from RNAcentral. Lineage: Archaea; Methanobacteriati; Methanobacteriota; Methanomicrobia; Methanosarcinales; Methanosarcinaceae.